UACGUAGGGUGCGAGCGUUAAUCGGAAUUACUGGGCGUAAAGCGUGCGCAGGCGGUUUUGUAAGACAGAUGUGAAAUCCCCGGGCUUAACCUGGGAACUGCGUUUGUGACUGCAAGACUAGAGUGUGGCAGAGGGGGGUAGAAUUCCACGUGUAGCAGUGAAAUGCGUAGAGAUGUGGAGGAAUACCGAUGGCGAAGGCAGCCCCCUGGGUCAACACUGACGCUCAUGCACGAAAGCGUGGGGAGCAAACAGG
RNAcentral lists this ribosomal RNA (253 nucleotides) under uncultured bacterium. RNAcentral describes it as "partial 16S ribosomal RNA". It matches the Rfam family "Bacterial small subunit ribosomal RNA", at positions 524 to 776 of the family's 1533-position model. The record is from RNAcentral.